Molecule: ribosomal RNA, 515 nt
Filed under: uncultured bacterium
Lineage: Bacteria
Description: bacterial SSU rRNA
Rfam family: Bacterial small subunit ribosomal RNA
Source: RNAcentral
AGCGAACGCUGGCGGCAGGCCUAACACAUGCAAGUCGAACGGACCCUUCGGGGUUAGUGGCGGACGGGUGAGUAACACGUGGGAACGUGCCUUUAGGUUCGGAAUAGCUCCUGGAAACGGGUGGUAAUGCCGAAUGUGCCCUUCGGGGGAAAGAUUUGUCGCCUUUAGAGCGGCCCGCGUCUGAUUAGCUUGUUGGUGGGGUAAUGGCCCACCAAGGCUACGAUCAGUAGCUGGUCUGAGAGGAUGACCAGCCACAUUGGGACUGAGACACGGCCCAAACUCCUACGGGAGGCAGCAGUGGGGAAUCUUGCGCAAUGGGCGAAAGCCUGACGCAGCCAUGCCGCGUGUAUGAUGAAGGUCUUAGGAUUGUAAAAUACUUUCACCGGUGAAGAUAAUGACUGUAGCCGGAGAAGAAGCCCCGGCUAACUUCGUGCCAGCAGCCGCGGUAAUACGAAGGGGGCUAGCGUUGCUCGGAAUUACUGGGCGUAAAGGGAGCGUAGGCGGACAUUUAAGUC